AUGAGAUUGAGAAAUAAGGAAUUUUUAUGGCAUCACCAGAAAAAAGAAAAGUUUGUAUAAUGGUGCCGUACAAAGAAAUUAGAUUGCACGAAAAGAAUCCUUCAAACAUUAGUUCGUGAAGGAGUAAACAAAGACAAAUGAUGAUUAACGAGAAACGUUCAAUGACUUAAGCAGGCACCAAAAUCCAAGCACUAUCCAAUAUGUGCAAAAACAAAGAAAGACAUAUGGUCGCAAUAACAGAGGAUCUUGCAGUAAUGUAUCUCACAACUCCAAGCCCACUGUCAACAAUUGCUUCAUGAACUGCAUAAACACAUCUUUUUAUUCCAUCAUAAAGUCUCUCCAGCAAAAACUCCAAGAAAGAUCUAACUGUCUCAAAUGUAAUCCUCCCAGUCACAUCAAGAAUAAACCUUCUAUUGCUUGGUACUGCUAAAGUAGAUGACACUUUUCUAAACCAUCCACCAUCCUCAGCUUCAUCAAACGACUUUCUUGCUUUCGAUUGGCUUGUAGAUUCUUCAUUCUCUGAUGAACCUUCCUGUUUAUCAAUGGCUAACUUUGGAGAUUCCAGCCUUGAAUUUGCUUCAGAAUCAGCACUUGUCAAGACUUGAUGAGAUGUCUUGACAAGAGUCUCAAUAGCACCAUUGCAUACAUCAACUAAUACAUCUCUCACUUUAUUUUCGUGAUUGGGAUUUGUCAAUCCUGCAAAGAUUUCAUCAUAGGUGUUGAUGUGCAUAGUCUUGUCAAGAUAAACAGCAACUGCAGUGCUCACAAAUAACUGAAUACAAUCACCUAUAAGUGCUUUACACUUGUGGCUACAAACCACGUCCACCAAUUCUGUGGCAGAAUUCAUUUCCAAACCAAAAUGAUUACUGGUGAUAGGACCAUUCAAUUCUGAAUUUGAAUUCAUAUCUCUACCACUAGAUGCUCCAUCUUGAUACAAGGCCAUGACCAAGUUCCUAGCAAAGCUUCCAACAACAACAGAAACAAAACCAGACCCAGCUGAAGUAGAAAGCUUAUCAAAAACCUUAUCCAAGAAACUUGGAUUGGUGUUGGCGCUGGCAUCGUGAUUAAUUCUUGCACUGGAUUGAUAACCUCGCAAAAUUCCCAAAAUUAAAGCUUGCGUAAAGCUAAUUACAGAUUCUGAAAACUCAGAUGACCUCGCAACUUUGGAAAUUUGCUUGACACUAUUGGGAAUUUGGUCCGACUCUGACUGCAGAAAAUCUUUCAAAUCCUUGGAGAUGACUCCAACUGUUUCAGCAGAAUCAGAAAUAACUUCUGCUAUAGAAAUUAAAGCCCCUAAAAGCUUAGAAAGUCGUUUUCUUUUUCGAGCAAUUGAGGGUAAGUUAUAAACUCUACAGGCAGCGUAAGUAGAGAAACCAAGGGAAGCCAACAAAACAAACAAUCGCUUCCUUUUCCAGCUAUAAUCAAGAAGACCCUUUUUCACCGAUUGCAGGUCCAUGUUAUCCAAAAUCAAAUCAAAUCAAAAGAACCCAAUUGCAGUGUCUAUUUUAUAUUCUUGCCAUUGGCAUAGAACUAAGAAGAUAAUCUUGAAGUCAAUCAAUGCAAGUGUUCAAGCUGUACAAGCAAAGAAACUGUUAAAGACUCAAGAAUUCGUAUCUUUAUUGUUUCUUUUCUUCUCUUCUUAUCUUCUUAUCCAUAAAAGGAAAACAGAAAUUAUUUGAAAUCGCAUGUGAUGACUAGGAUUAAUUAAAAUGCGUCAGUAUCAAGAAUCGAGGAAGAUGGAGGAGAGAUAGAGAGAAACCUGAGAGAGAGAGAGAAAUGACGUAAGGGCGGCUGCAGAGGAAAGUGGCGUCUCGUGCAGGGAAGAGAAUGAAGGCGUCACGUAGUGUAUGGGCGUGUAGAUGCAAUUCAUUCUCCAGGUUCUGGAUGGAAGCAGAGAAACGAUCAACUUCAAAAUUCUACAGCCACUAGGAAAUCUAAUUUAUAUUUAUAGCAAGCUCAACAUUUAGUCCUCGUGGGCUCAUUGCCAG
Molecule: unclassified non-coding RNA, 1988 nt
Filed under: Hevea brasiliensis (rubber tree)
Lineage: Eukaryota; Viridiplantae; Streptophyta; Magnoliopsida; Malpighiales; Euphorbiaceae
Source: RNAcentral